GAUGAACGCUGGCGGCGUGCCUAAUACAUGCAAGUCGAGCGAACAGACGCGGCGCUUGCUCCUCUGACGUUAGCGGCGGACGGGUGUGUAACACGUGGAUAACCUACCUAUAAGACUGGUAUAACUUCGGGAAACCGGCGCUAAUACCGUAUAAUAUAUUGAACCGCAUGGUUCAAUAGUGAAAGUCGGUUUUGCUGUCACUUAUAGAUGGAUACGCGCCGCAUUAGCUGGUUGGUAAUGUAACAGCUUACCAAGGCAACAAUGCGUAGCCGAGCUGCGGGGGUGAUGGGGCACUGUGGAGGUGAGACGCGGUACAGACUCCUACGGGAGGCACAGGUAGGGAAUGUACGGCAAUGGGCGGAAUCUUGACGGAGCAGCGCAGGGCGGGUGAUGAAGGGCUUCGGACCGGAUGACUCUGUUAGUGGUGAAGACCAAUUUUGUAAGUAACUAUGCACGUCUGGACGGUACCUGAUCAGAAAGCCACGGCUAACUACGUG
Molecule: ribosomal RNA, 497 nt
Filed under: uncultured bacterium
Lineage: Bacteria
Description: partial 16S ribosomal RNA
Rfam family: Bacterial small subunit ribosomal RNA
Source: RNAcentral